UGAGUUGGCCGGGUGGCUGCGGCCGGGCCUGACCCGGUCGAGGAAAGUCGGGACUCCGCAGGGCAGGGUGCUGGCUAACGGCCAGUCGAGGUGACUCGCAGGAAAGUGCCACAGAAAGCAGACCGCCGAUGGGCCCACGGGUUCGCCCGGGGGUCACAGGUAAGGGUGAAACGGUGCGGUAAGAGCGCACCAGCGUCCGGGGCGACCCGGGCGGCUCGGUAAACCCCACCCGGAGCAAGGUCAAACGUGGGACGGCCGGCCCGGCUCAGGUCCCCAGGUAGACCGCUCAGAUGGAUGGCCACCCAUCCGGAUCCCGGAAACGGGCCGGUGGACAGAAUCCCGCUUACAGGCCAACUCACCGU
This 362-nucleotide RNase P RNA is filed under the name Acidimicrobiaceae bacterium. Its description in RNAcentral is "RNase P RNA component class A". It matches the Rfam family "Bacterial RNase P class A". Rfam says of the family: Ribonuclease P (RNase P) is a ubiquitous endoribonuclease, found in archaea, bacteria and eukarya as well as chloroplasts and mitochondria. Lineage: Bacteria; Bacillati; Actinomycetota; Acidimicrobiia; Acidimicrobiales; Acidimicrobiaceae. The record is from RNAcentral.